RNAcentral lists this ribosomal RNA (1432 nucleotides) under Hapalidiales sp. I_Twist-2019. RNAcentral's name for it is "partial small subunit ribosomal RNA". It matches the Rfam family "Eukaryotic small subunit ribosomal RNA". Lineage: Eukaryota; Rhodophyta; Florideophyceae; Hapalidiales. The record is from RNAcentral.
AGUCUAAGUAUAAGUGAUUCUGAUGACGAAACUGCGAAUGGCUCGGUAAAACAGCAAUAAUUUCUUCGAUGGUAACCUACUAUACGGAUAACCGUAGUAAUUCUAGAGCUAAUACGUGCCAUAAACGCAGGUUUUCCUGUGGUGCUAAUUAGAUAACAACACCAACAUAUGGUGAUUCAUAAUUCUCUUUCUGAUCGCUGAGCAAUCAGCGACGCAUCGUUCAAAUUUCUGACCUAUCAACUUUAGAUGGUAAGGUAGUGUCUUACCAUGGUGGCAACGGGUAACGGACCGUGGGUGCGGGACUCCGGAGAGGGAGCCUGAGAAACGGCUACCACAUCCAAGGAAGGCAGCAGGCGCGCAAAUUACCCAAUCCAGACUCUGGGAGGUAGUGACAAGAAAUAUCAAUAGGGGACCCUAUGGGUCUUCUAAUUGGAAUGAGAACAAGCUAAACAGCUUAUCGAGAAUCCAGCAGAGGGCAAGUCUGGUGCCAGCAGCCGCGGUAAUUCCAGCUCUGUAAGCGUAUACCAAAGUUGUUGCAGUUAAAACGCUCGUAGUCGGAUUUUGGUAGUUCCGGGAGUGUGCGCGUCGUGCGCGUGCUUCGCAGGGGCUGCUUUUGUGGGCAUGCGUCAGAUGAGGCAACUUUAUUGUUGAACGUCUGUACGCAACCACCAUUUACUGUGAAAAAAUUAAAGUGUUCAAAGCAGGCAUUUGUCGUGAAUACAUUAGCAUGGAAUAAUUGAAUAGGACUUGGUCUUAUUUUGUUGGUUUGUUAUGGCUGAGUAAUGAUUAAAAGGGACAGUUGGGGGCAUUUGUAUUCCGGAGCUAGAGGUGAAAUUCUUAGAUUUCCGGAAGACAAACCGCUGCGAAAGCGUCUGCCAAGGAUGUUUUCAUUGAUCAAGAACGAAAGUAAGGGGAUCGAAGACGAUCAGAUACCGUCGUAGUCUUUACUAUAAACGAUGAGGACUGGGGAUCGGGCGAGGAAUUGCGAUGACCAUUCCGUUAACGAGCGAGACCUGGGCGUGCUAAAUAGGGGCUACUACCGCUUUUGGUAGUACGUUACCUCUUCUUAGACGGACUGCGGGCGUCUAGUCCGCGGAAGCUCCAGGCAAUAACAGGUCUGAGAUGCCCUUAGAUGUUCUGGGCCGCACGCGUGCUACACUGAGUGGAUCAGCGGGUCAGGUUGCACGAAAGUGUUUCCUAAUCUUGAAAUCCGCUCGUGAUGGGGAUUGAGGGUUGCAAUUUUCCCUCAUGAACGAGGAAUACCUUGUAAGCGUGGGUCAUCAUCCCGCGCUGAAUACGUCCCUGCCCUUUGUACACACCGCCCGUCGCUCCUACCGAUUGAGUGGUCCGGUGAGGCUUUGGGAUUGUAGCGGGAAGAGCGUUUCGCUCGUUCUGCCACGAAAACUCAGUCGAACCUUAUCAUUUAGAGGAA